GCCAGGGAAGGGCAGCAUUCCCUACAGCCGCCAUUUCUUCUCUGCCAGCAAUCUGCUGUCCUGCGUAGCCAGAGCUGGAAGGUCAGAUAUCUCUGGAAUGUAUUGAGCACCUACUGGGUGCACAACCUUGUAGAAGAGCCCGUGCCCUCGGCGAGAAUCUGCUCCCAUGUCCCCACAGUUCUGUCUCGUGCCUGCUCUGCUGUGGGCGAAGUGUCCCUUCUGCCACCAGGGCCCCUGACUAUUUUUCCUGGAAUCAUCUGGCCUCCUGGUCUCUUCUAGGCCUGCUGGAUCAGGGUGAGAAUCCAGCGUAGGCCACCGUAACCAGACUGCCUGCUGCAUGGACAGCAGGCGCUGGCCCAGCUGGCUCUGACGAGUCCUGGACCCUUUCUUCACUGGAAAGUACCUCUCGUGGAGAAAGUUCAUCAAGGUGACCCCUCGUGAGCAAGAUGUUUUGGCUGGCAGGAAACAAACAGUGGUUAACAACAAAUUAGUGAGCUACUGAGCCUCUGGGUACCUGGGGCUGAGGGCAGAGCCAGGCUGGCUGCAGACAUCAGCUGUGGUCUCCUGCAGACCUGAGCAGGCACUCUCAGCUACAGGCCUGGCUCAAAGUUCCCUUCACACAGGUGGGAUGCUGUGGUGCGGCUUAAGCUCUGGCUGGCUUGCUCCUCCGGCUCUGUUCCCCAGGGCUUUGUUCUACUGACCUAAGGCUGGGCUUCUUUUCUCUCCUUAGAAUGGACAAAGGGGCCAAUCCUGAAGUGGGGUUUUCAGGGAGCCCAGAGCUCAGCAUAAAAUAUUUUCAAGUAAAGGACAAUCCUAGGAGCAAAAGCCUCCUUUUGGGGGUAGGGUGCACCCAGGAGCCCUCCUCAGCUCCCAGGUUGCCACCAACACUGAAGAAGUCUCUACUCCUGCCAUACCCAUCCUGCGUGGCAGGAGGGGACACAUUCUAAAGAGACACUCAUGACCCUUUCUUUAGCUUUCAGUCUAGUGAAAAAAAUGGACCCCAAGAAAUAAAAAGUUCCCCAGUAUUCUCCUGUUGAGAGAAUACAUGGCUGGAGCCUUGGGGCCAACCUGAGGGGAACUGGUCACCCAGAAGAUUAACAACUAAUCCCGUGACCUUGGAACUGGACCGAGGGGUGAGAGACCGGGUCAUGCCUUGACUGCUGAGUUAUGCAAAUCUCUUGUUUUUUAAGUCCCACCCUCGGUCAGGAUCCCUAAGGACUUGGGAAGUCCCUGGAUCUCUGGGUAUCCUCCUGCUGCAGCCACACUAAGUGCAUUUCCUUUUCCGUGAUUCAC
This 1293-nucleotide long non-coding RNA is filed under the name Mus pahari (shrew mouse). Its description in RNAcentral is "lncRNA (MGP_PahariEiJ_G0005606.1)". Lineage: Eukaryota; Metazoa; Chordata; Mammalia; Rodentia; Muridae. The record is from RNAcentral.